CAAGACCGUGCCGCCCGUCAUACGCACCUACUAGGGUAACUUAGGUGAGAUAUAGUGAUGUAUUGGUGCAGACAAAGUGCCGCUCGAGCAGCACUGGCGCAAGCACACGAUAGCGGAGACGGACCCGCACACGGGCGCCACGCGGCUCAGCUACCGGCCCGUCAUCGACCACACGCUCGACCAGGACGAGUGCAAGACCGUGCCGCCCGUCAUACGCACCUACUAGGGUAACUUAGGUGAGCUAUAGUGAUGUAUUGGUGCAGACAGAGUGCCGCUCGAGCAGCACUGGCGCAAGCACACGAUAGCGGAGACGGACCCGCACACGCCACGCGGCUCAGCUACCGGCCCGUCAUCGACCACAUGCUCGACCAGGACGAGUGCAAGACCGUGCCGCCCGUCAUACGCACCUACUAGGGUAACUUAGGUGAGCUAUAGUGAUGUAUUGGUGCAGACAAAGUGCCGCUCGAGCAGCACUGGCGCAAGCACACGAUAGCGGAGACGGACCCGCACACGGGCGCCACGCGGCUCAGCUACCGGCCCGUCAUCGACCACACGCUCGACCAGGACGAGUGCAAGACCGUGCCGCCCGUCAUACGCACCUACUAGGGUAACUUAGGUGAGAUAUAGUGAUGUAUUGGUGCAGACAAAGUGCCGCUCGAGCAGCACUGGCGCAAGCACACGAUAGCGGAGACGGACCCGCACACGGGCGCCACGCGGCUCAGCUACCGGCCCGUCAUCGACCACACGCUCGACCAGGACGAGUGCAAGACCGUGCCGCCCGUCAUACGCACCUACUAGGGUAACUUAGGUGAGCUAUAGUGAUGUAUUGGUGCAGACAGAGUGCCGCUCGAGCAGCACUGGCGCAAGCACACGAUAGCGGAGACGGACCCGCACACGCCACGCGGCUCAGCUACCGGCCCGUCAUCGACCACAUGCUCGACCAGGACGAGUGCAAGACCGUGCCGCCCGUCAUACGCACCUACUAGGGUAACUUAGGUGAGCUAUAGUGAUGUAUUGGUGCAGACAAAGUGCCGCUCGAGCAGCACUGGCGCAAGCACACGAUAGCGGAGACGGACCCGCACACGGGCGCCACGCGGCUCAGCUACCGGCCCGUCAUCGACCACACGCUCGACCAGGACGAGUGCAAGACCGUGCCGCCCGUCAUACGCACCUACUAGGGUAACUUAGGUAAUCUCUCAAUAUGGCUGCUGACUGAUCGAAGAGCAGUAUUCGUAUUCCUUCAGCGCGCAUCUCGGCUCGACUUGCUUCUUUCUGCUUUCAUGUCAUUAUUUAUUUCAUUAUUUAGUCUAGCGUAGACAUAAGACUUACAAGUGAAAACAAACGCAAGCAAACGUAUGAUAUAUACGUAAAUGGUAAUACAUGUUGUGAUAAAAUUAGAUUUUUUUUAAUAAUACGAGUCAUAUAACUUUUGCUUUAUAAUAAAUUCAAAUAAAAUCAUUGCUACAAGUAUGCCAGAUGCCCGAACAUAUUUAUUCUUCUAAACGAUGGAAUUCAAACUAUAGAUUUAAAUAUUUAUUAUUUAGACAUGUAAAUAUAUUCAUCGAGUAAAUGUACUAAACGAGCAGCAUUUUUAAUUGUAAUGUUUAGUGUUUUAGUAUUCAAAGAGCGCCGAGGUACUUAGUUACAAGUAUAUAAAAUCAUAAUAUAUUUCUCGGUAUAUUCUCACUAAAAAUAUUUAUUCAUUUAACUUAUUAUUUCUGUCUGAAACGUUGCAAUUGCCCAUUGCUGAAGGUAAAGGUGUACUGAAUUGAAUAAUUUUUGACUGUUUAAAUAAUAAUUAAAUAUUGGUACAAAAAUAUUAUUCUGUUUUGCAGUAUUAAAUCGAAAUUUUAUUUUAUGAAAAUGUACAAUUUGUUGUAGAUGUUAAGACAUAAUUAUGUUAAAUAUAUAAAUAUGUAUGUAAA
This is a long non-coding RNA of Bicyclus anynana (squinting bush brown), 1925 nucleotides long. RefSeq lists it as uncharacterized. The record is from RefSeq and is a predicted model, not a curated record. The transcript is spliced from 2 exons. NCBI's taxonomy places the organism in Eukaryota, Metazoa, Arthropoda, Insecta, Lepidoptera, Nymphalidae.